CAAAAAAAUUGUCCAAUAUAGAAAAUUAAGAGAAAAUUUAUCAUUUUGUAUUUAUUAUACCUUUGUUAUUAAAUACUCCAGUUCUUUUACAAUCAUUUAGAUGAGUUAUGAUAAAUAAGGGUAAUCUUCAUUAUUGUUGAAUUAUUGUACAAAGUCUUUAGACUUUACGUAAAAGAUGUAAUAAUUGUAGAUUUGUAGGUUUGUAGGAAAUUAAAGGCUAGUUAGUAGCCUAGCCUCCUUUUUUUACUUUUUUGUUAGUUUUUGUUAGCUUUUAGCAAAACGUGUAAAAAUUGAUUGUAAAUUUUGUUCUAUAAAUAAAGGAAGCCGAAGGCAUUGCAAAGGCAAGCGUUCAUGCGUUGAAGCAAACAUUCUCUCUAUUCCACAACAAAUAUUUUACUCAGUUAAUUAAAUAGACAUAUUUCAAUGGAAAAAGUUAUGGAGGAACAAACUUCAGAAAUAUCAAAACUACCCGAACAGGUAUAUUUAUUUAUGAUUAUGAAUAGCUAAAUUCAUAAUUCCCAACAAUCAUGAUAUGAUAAAAUAAAUUCAUAUUAGUUACUUUAUAGUAGAAUUAUUCGAAGAAUAAAAUGUUAAGAAGUUUAUUA
This 605-nucleotide long non-coding RNA is filed under the name Capsicum annuum. RNAcentral's name for it is "long non-coding RNA (CANN_LNC015278)". Lineage: Eukaryota; Viridiplantae; Streptophyta; Magnoliopsida; Solanales; Solanaceae. The record is from RNAcentral.